Non-coding RNA from Malus domestica (apple), 3168 nucleotides. Lineage: Eukaryota; Viridiplantae; Streptophyta; Magnoliopsida; Rosales; Rosaceae. The record is from RefSeq and is a predicted model, not a curated record.
GAAAUUCUGGACUCUUCGUUCCAUUUCGAAGCCAAGCUCUCCGACGUCUGCUUUUUUCUAAAAAACUCUAGCCCUCUCCUUCCCAAACACACCUCCCACAAACGUCUCUGCUGCGUUUUCUGCGAUUAACACUUUUGAAACAAGAAAUUAAAUCGAUCUCCAAAAAUCCAACUCCCAAACUGGAUCAGGAUCCAUCACCAUCUCGCGAUGCCUUGCUCAGAUCGGCUCUGCACUCAUCAUCGACGACUCUGCCUUCACGAAGGACUCUGCAAAUCCCAUCACCGAUAAAGAGGGGCUUCUCAAUCUGUUGUCUGGACUGAAGAAAAGGAGGAUGGGGCUCUCGAAAUCUCAAAUCCGAGAAAAGAGAAAGUUCUUAUCAAGUACAUACAUAAAUUAAAAAGGUAUUGAAUUGGUACCUCCUGAUCAUCGAGAGACGGUAUAAUAUAUGCAGGUGCAAAAUCAUUUUGGGUUUGCAUGCAACCAAACUUCUCUGAUGCAAACCAACAGAUCGAGGACUUUAAGGACAUCCUCAAGGCGCAGUGGUAGAAUCAUACUCUUGAGGUUUAGAUUUUUUUUUUCCCUUCUGUUUUUUAGAGUAAUUUUUCGGGUUUCUUCUCGCUUUUAUUAUGAAAGUAAGAGAUUGAUAAGGUGCAUAGGAGGCUUCCAUCUUUCUAUCCUUCAAGUAUUUGACAAUCAACUAUUGUGGGCUAAUGCGACAAAUUUUUGUGAAGCGGGAGCCUUGUGCACUGGUGAGUUACCAAAGACUAAUUAAUCAAUGAUGAAUUACACGUCAAAACCUCAGAGUGGGAAGUCAUCGGUCCCAAUUCAAAUGUUUAGCAUUCAUGGUUGACUUGAUGAGCAAACUAUGGUGGAGUACAUAAUUCCAAAGGACGAUGGAAGCCUGGUGUUGUACGUUGGAUUCAGAGUGCAGCAUGACAAUGCACGUGGAUGAUGUCUUAAUUUGGUUUUUGUUUUCGUUUUGUUAGUCUUAUGUUUUUGUUCUUUUUCAUGAUCUGGUUGUUGAAAUAUCAUUUAGAAGGGAAGAGUAAUGGUUAAAGAUAUUAGCUUUUCGGCCCAAGUGUCGAGGAAGUUGUUGGAGUAAUGUGUUUGGAUUAUGAUAUGUUCAGGGUUCGAUUCCCUUCAGUAACCAAAAAAAAAAAGAUAUGAACUUUGAUUCUGAACUUUUGGGUACUAAUCAAAAGUGUAAUGAUGCAUGCAUUUGCGUAACCUGUGAUUGUGUUAUGGUGUCUAAAUUCAUGUUCUUUUCAUCUAUACUGCAUGAGACAGAAAUGAUUGUUGCAUUUGUUUGUUUUUUUGUUUCAUGUUUUUGUACUUAUGCCUAAUUGUCUUUUUAUUUUUCUUUUCUGUGCAGUGGAACCAGCAAAAGUUCACUCUCUGGAGUUGCUCCACUUGAAGUUGUAUUAUUUGAUAUUGAUGGAACGCUGUGUGAUUCGGAUCAAAUUCAUUACUAUGCCUUUCGUGAAAUGCUACCAGAGAUAGGUUUCAACGGAGGUGUUCCGAUUACUGAGGAGUACUAUAUUGAGAAUUUUGCUGGGAAGCAUAACGAUGAUGUUGCCAGGAUACUGUUUCCUGAUGACUUAGAAAGAGGCUUAAAGUUCACAGAAGACAAGGAAGCCAUGUUUCGCAGAUUGGCCGUAGAUAAAUUGAAGCCUGUGAAUGGUCUCUAUAAAGUGAAGAAAUGGAUUGAAGAUCGUGGGUUGAAACGGACAAAAUCCAUGACCUCAUUGGAACUCAUACUGAUGUUCCAGCAUCCGAUAUGGGCACCAAUGCUCAGACCAUCCUUAAAUAUCUAUUUUUAGACGUUCAAUUUCUCCAUUUAUUAUCCAGUACUUAAAAAAAAUUUAAAUCUAGGAUUUUUUUUUUCCCUUGGUUAUUUGAUGGUUUUAAAUUUAUGAAUACAGGUUUGUGUUUUUUUGUUCAAAUACUAUUUCAAAGCUGAAGGAAACAUUGUUCGUGAAUAGCACAUUGUCUACAAAGACGACAUAGAAGACAGUUUACUUAAUGUGAAAAAGAAAGUUUAAUUCUCAUUACUUUCUUACAUUAUUUGAAAUCAAAUUUGGUCACAUUGUGCUUAGCUUAAUCAUUUUGUUGCAUACAUUGCACGGCUCUGGUGUUUCCCUAUGGGGUGUUUCACUGUACAAAUUCUUUUUUCUCUGUUUUAAUUGCACGUGUGUGUGUGUUUUUUUUUUUAAAUUUUGUUCGCUCUGCUUUCAUGGUGUUUUGCGUUUAAUUUGAUGUUUGCAGGCACUGCGUUUGCUUAUGGGCAGACCAGUAGUGGGAAGACUUUUACCGUGAAUGGUUCCGAAACAUGUCCGGGUAUCUUAUAUUGAGCCGUUAGAGAUGUUUUUGACAGAACUCAGAUGGUAGACGUGAGCUGAGGAGAACUUCCAAAGGAGUUCCUUUUGGAAUGGUCAAACCAGGACUCUCAGUCCAAUAAAUAGUCUGGCCGACGCAGUUUCAAUUUAAACCAGAGCAGCAGACGAGCAAGCGUUAGGUGAAGAACUUGCAUGGCAAACGACACACCAGGGCACGACCGUCUGCUAGAGCCAAACAACAUCAGCUUAAAUUGUUGCCCUCGAACUAGGGCUGGGCACGGGCCGGGGCCGGGGCCGGGCCGGGUCCAUUUUUGAAGGGACCGGACCGGACAUUAAAUUAAAGGAGACGGGGUGGGCCGGACCGGGCAUUACAAUUCUGAAAAUAGGAACCGGACCUUACCCGGCCCGGUUGAAACAGGCCGGUUCGGUCCGGGUACACGGGUCCUUUUUUUUUUUUUUUUGCUGUUUAAAAAUGUUUGCUGCACAGAUUGCACAUAUUGCACAAAUUGCAGUUUGAAAAAACUGCAUAGAUUCCAGUUACACAGAUUGCAGUUUGAAAAAACUGCACAGAUUGCAGAAACUGCACAGAGAGCAGUUUUUGCAGUUUACAGAUUGCAGUUUUUAAACUGCAACACAGAAAAACUGCAGUCCAUGGAGUGCCUACAAGGAAAAAAAGGAAAAACAAAAUCAGUUAAGAGAGGACAUCUUGUACUAUAUAUUUGGAUUAGUUUUAAUAAAACUUCCGCCAAAAAGAACAUAAAUUCUGAAUUAUGGGUAAACUCAAUACACAAUAUGCAUGUGUUUAUCAUGCCUGUAAAAAAAAAAAGGGUAG